GAUGAACGCUGGCUACAGGCUUAACACAUGCAAGUCGAGGGGAAACGACGGGGAAGCUUGCUUCUCCGGGCGUCGACCGGCGCACGGGUGAGUAACGCGUAUCCAACCUGCCUCUGACUGAGGGCUAACCCGUCGAAAGUCGGCCUAAUACUACAUGGCAUCGUCUGCGGGCAUCCAACGACGAUUAAAGAUUUCAUUGGUUAGGGAUGGGGAUGCGUCUGAUUAGCUUGUUGGCGGGGUAACGGCCCACCAAGGCUACGAUCAGUAGGCGUUCUGAGAGGAAGGUCCCCCACAUCGGAACUGCGGCACGGUCCAAACUGCUACGGGAGGCAGCAGUGAGUAAUAUUAGGCAAUGAGCGGGAGCCGGAACCAGCCAAGUAGCGUGCAGGAUGACGGCCAUAUGGGUUGUAAACUGCUUUUAUGCGGGGAUAAAGUGAGGGACGUGUCCUUCAUUGCAGGUACCGCAUGAAUAAGGACCGGCUAAUUCCGUG
Molecule: ribosomal RNA, 491 nt
Filed under: uncultured bacterium
Lineage: Bacteria
Description: partial 16S ribosomal RNA
Rfam family: Bacterial small subunit ribosomal RNA
Source: RNAcentral